UACGUAGGGUGCGAGCGUUAAUCGGAAUUACUGGGCGUAAAGCGUGCGCAGGCGGUGAUGUAAGACAGAUGUGAAAUCCCCGGGCUCAACCUGGGAACUGCAUUUGUGACUGCAUCGCUGGAGUGCGGCAGAGGGGGAUGGAAUUCCGCGUGUAGCAGUGAAAUGCGUAGAUAUGCGGAGGAACACCGAUGGCGAAGGCAGCCCCCUGGGCUAACACUGACGCUCAGGCACGAAAGCGUGGGGAGCAAACAGG
RNAcentral lists this ribosomal RNA (253 nucleotides) under uncultured bacterium. RNAcentral describes it as "partial 16S ribosomal RNA". It matches the Rfam family "Bacterial small subunit ribosomal RNA", at positions 524 to 776 of the family's 1533-position model. The record is from RNAcentral.